Molecule: non-coding RNA, 637 nt
Organism: Microcebus murinus (gray mouse lemur)
Lineage: Eukaryota; Metazoa; Chordata; Mammalia; Primates; Cheirogaleidae
Source: RefSeq, a predicted model, not a curated record
CAUGACCACACCACUGCAUUCCAGCCGGGGUGAGACCCUGUCUCUAAAAACAAACAAUCAAAGAAGAAAAUGAUGACACACUAAUUGAAGAAAGUAUAACCAAAGGCCAGUGGAAUACCAGCAUCUAGCAACUGCAGAAAAACAUUACCACCCAAGCCUGAAAGAGCAAGAGCAAAUGAAGAGUAUAUUAGUUUCCUAUGGCUGUUGUAACAGAUUACCAUAAACUUGUUAAAGAAGAACAUGCUACCCCAAAAUAUGCUACUCUGGCAUAUUAAUAUUUUGACUUAAAUGUACUUGAAAAGCAGCAGUGCAAGAAGAUCACUCUGACCUUCUAAAAGCAGGAGAUGAAAUUCCCAUGUGAAAGAUGUCCUCCCUAAACCAGAAGGAAAAUUUCAUUCUUCUCAUCAAAGAUGAGAAGUUGAGGCCAAGGGAAAUCUGUACAAACAAACCUUGUUAAACUAAUCUUUAUCUUCCUAGUCACUUUUUCACCCAAUUUGUCAGAUUUUCACAAGUUACUACUCUUUGUCCAACUCAGUAUAUAAAUGUUCAACUCUAACUGCUCCUUUGAAUCUUCAUCUCCUUAUGAAGGCUCUUCUGCCACAAAACACUUGUAUUAAAUAAGUUUGUAUGUUUUUUC